AAGUCGUAACAAGGUUUCCGUAGGUGAACCUGCGGAAGGAUCAUUAACACAAAGUCACAGUUGUUUUCCCCCCAAUCUUGCAAAAGAAAGGGGUGAGGCAACAUGUCACUUUUCAACCCCCCUCUUGCAAACCUGUUUUUCAAACUUGAACCUUAGGGCUCAGUUUGUUUUCAUGUAUUCCCAGGCGUCAUUAGUUGGGUCGUUAUGACUCGAAGAAUGCGUCUGUUGGUUUCACUUUUUUCACCCCUUGAACUGUCUUGGACUGAAAUCUGAAGUGGUAUCUUGAAGUUUCUACGUGAAAAUUCAGGAUGCUCUUCUGCCAAAUAUCAAACGCUGAACAACUCUUAGCAACGGAUAUCUUGGCUCUC
RNAcentral lists this unclassified non-coding RNA (368 nucleotides) under fungal sp. RNAcentral describes it as "partial internal transcribed spacer region". The stretch from base 1 to 46 matches the Rfam family "Eukaryotic small subunit ribosomal RNA", at positions 1786 to 1831 of the family's 1831-position model. The record is from RNAcentral. Lineage: Eukaryota; Fungi.